Molecule: ribosomal RNA, 201 nt
Filed under: uncultured bacterium
Lineage: Bacteria
Description: partial 16S ribosomal RNA
Rfam family: Bacterial small subunit ribosomal RNA
Source: RNAcentral
GUAGUCUGCAACUCGACUACAUGAAGCUGGAAUCGCUAGUAAUCGCGAAUCAGAAUGUCGCGGUGAAUACGUUCCCGGGUCUUGUACACACCGCCCGUCACACCAUGGGAGCCGGUAAUGCCCGAAGUCUGUGGCCCAACCGAAAGGAAGGAGCAGCCGAGGGCAGGCCCGGUGACUGGGGUNAAGUCGUAACAAGGUACC